Molecule: ribosomal RNA, 293 nt
Filed under: uncultured prokaryote
Description: partial 16S ribosomal RNA
Rfam family: Archaeal small subunit ribosomal RNA
Source: RNAcentral
GUGUAAGCCGCCUCGGUAAUACCGGCAGCACGCUUGAUGGCCGAUCUUAUUGGGCCUAAAGCGUCCGUAGCUGGCUGAACAAGUCCGUUGGGAAAUCUGUCCGCUUAACGGGCAGGCGUCCAGCGGAAACUGUUCAGCUUGGGACCGGAAGACCUGAGGGGUACGUCUGGGGUAGGAGUGAAAUCCUGUAAUCCUGGACGGACCGCCGGUGGCGAAAGCGCCUCAGGAGAACGGAUCCGACAGUGAGGGACGAAAGCUAGGGUCUCGAACCGGAUUAGAAAACCGCGUAGUCC